This 72-nucleotide transfer RNA is filed under the name Actinomycetota bacterium. Its description in RNAcentral is "tRNA-Val". It matches the Rfam family "tRNA". Rfam says of the family: Transfer RNA (tRNA) molecules are approximately 80 nucleotides in length. Their secondary structure includes four short double-helical elements and three loops (D, anti-codon, and T loops). The record is from RNAcentral. Lineage: Bacteria; Bacillati; Actinomycetota. RNAcentral also lists the same sequence under 1 other name.
GGGCGCUUAGCUCAGGGGGAGAGCGCUUCCCUGACACGGAAGAGGUCGGAGGUUCAAAUCCUCCAGCGCCCA